RNAcentral lists this ribosomal RNA (301 nucleotides) under uncultured bacterium. Its description in RNAcentral is "partial 16S ribosomal RNA". It matches the Rfam family "Bacterial small subunit ribosomal RNA", at positions 509 to 808 of the family's 1533-position model. The record is from RNAcentral.
CAGUCGCCGCGGUAAUACGGAGGGGGCUAGCGUUGUUCGGAAUUACUGGGCGUAAAGCGCACGUAGGCGGCUUGGUAAGUUAGAGGUGAAAGCCUGGAGCUCAACUCCAGAAUUGCCUUUAAGACUGCCGAGCUAGCAGGUGAGAGAGGUAAGUGGAAUUCCGAGUGUAGAGGUGAAAUUCGUAGAUAUUCGGAAGAACACCAGUGGCGAAGGCGGCUUACUGGCUCAUACUGGACGCUGAGGUGCGAAAGCGUGGGGAGCAAACAGGAUUAGAGACCCGCGUAGUCCCUGUCUCUUAACC